Molecule: microRNA, 22 nt
Filed under: Homo sapiens (human)
Lineage: Eukaryota; Metazoa; Chordata; Mammalia; Primates; Hominidae
Description: hsa-miR-6884-5p
Source: miRBase by way of RNAcentral
AGAGGCUGAGAAGGUGAUGUUG